RNAcentral lists this ribosomal RNA (442 nucleotides) under uncultured bacterium. Its description in RNAcentral is "bacterial SSU rRNA". It matches the Rfam family "Bacterial small subunit ribosomal RNA", at positions 338 to 795 of the family's 1533-position model. The record is from RNAcentral.
CCUACGGGGGGCUGCAGUGAGGAAUAUUGCACAAUGGGGGGAACCCUGAUGCAGCAACGCCGCGUGAGCGAUGAAGGCCUUCGGGUCGUAAAGCUCUUUUCUGUGGGAUGAGAAAAGGACAGUACCACAGGAAUAAGUCUCGGCUAACUACGUGCCAGCAGCCGCGGUAAAACGUAGGAGGCGAGCGUUAUCCGGAUUCACUGGGCGUAAAGGGCAAGUAGGCGGUAGGCAAAGUUGGGCGUGACAAAUCUCGGCUUAACUGAGAGGGGUCGUUCAAAACUAGUCUACUGGAGGGCAGGAGAGGAAGGCGGAAUUCCGAGUGUAGCGGUGGAAUGCUCAGAUAUUCGGAAGAACACCAGUGGCGAAGGCGGCCUUCUGGCCUGCACCUGACGCUGAGAGGCGAAAGCUAGGGGAGCGAACGGGCUUAGAUACCCCGGUAGUC